This 4972-nucleotide long non-coding RNA is filed under the name Sus scrofa (pig). RNAcentral describes it as "lncRNA (ENSSSCG00015052531.1)". The record is from RNAcentral. Lineage: Eukaryota; Metazoa; Chordata; Mammalia; Artiodactyla; Suidae.
UUUGUUUUUGGGGUUUGGGGUUUUUUUUGGUGGGAGGACAUGUAGCCAUUGUAAAUCAUCUUAUGGAGGGAGCACUGAUGGGGCUGCCUGCAUCACUGAGUGAGUCCUAGUCAUAGAAAUCACUUUUGAUGUAUAAAUGUGCUCAGUGCUGGCAGGACGCUCUCCUUUUGAAGUGAAGGCAGUAAAUGCACAAAUCAAUCUACCCUGUUAAAUGUAUUAAAAUGAAUUAAAUUUGGCUCAUAAGCAUAUGUUCUGUGAAAAUCAUCUGUUUCUAUACUCUUUGGUUUUGUUAUUUUAGCUUUUUUCCCUUUUAGUUUUCUUUUAAAAACUUUCACUUUAAUUAGAUUGAAUUAGAAGAAAAUAAUUUUUUUGACACUUUAGCCAAAUUAGAUUAGUAUAUAAUUGGGUAACUGGAGACUCUGUGUGUGUGUGUGUAUGUGUGUGUGUGUGUGUGUGUGUCUUGGGUGACAGUAUGAGUUAAAAAUCACUUAAGGAAGAUGGGUGAAUAGAGAUUGGGGAAGAGGUAGGAGCAAACAAAGAUGCUGGUUCUUUACUUACUACUUGCAGACUUGUCCCCAUUGUUUUAGAACAUAGAUCAGUUGACUAUCAAACUUUUGGGGAGCUCAAAACCUUACAUAAUUUAGAUUUGUUUCAAUGUCUGGCUUAUCACUAUGAGUAUAAUUAUCUCAAGGGCUACAUGUGGCCCUUCUGUUCUAUUCACCUUCACAGUGUCUAGCAUGAGAUCCUGUACUUUGUGUUCUCCUAUGCUGAUGGCCAUGACCAAGAUUUACAACAGCUCUAAAAUUCCUACUGUAUUUUGGUACAUUCAGAUGUGGCCUGAGGCAUGUUUUAAGACAAGAAAGGCUCAAUCAAGCAUGACACUAAUUCUGCAUCUAAUAUGAAUCCUCUUAAAUUAAUAGCCAGGAUCUGGAAGUUGUUUCUCCCUCCCAAGACCCAAGGCAAUGGCUAAUUAUUUCAGUGUGAAGGCUGUUAAUGGAGCUGGAAAAGAAAGCCACUGAAAACUGAUUUCUAGGAAACUAAAGUAACUGAAGAAAAUGUCAUUCAAUUAGUUAAGGAAAAUAUAUCUGGCAUCUAGAAGUUACUAUGUCCUGUUAGGUGUUUUCCAUGAAAAGUUAAAUCAGAAAUCAGUCCCUGUUAUCAAUGAUCUCCACCCUAAUGAUCUAUGAGAGACGGUGGCCAUGAGACACAAAAACCUUAUCUCUAAGAGAUGUAAGUAGGAAUCAUGACUUAAAAGAACAUAUACAUUAAACAAUAGGCAGAUCCAUAGGAAGAUAGUCGUGCAUGACCUCUACAAACCACAUAGAAGGUGUUGACUGUUAUUUGAACAUUAUUGUAAGAGUCAACAGAAGAGCAAGAAAGACUUGGAUUUGGUAGGGGUCUUCUACCAGUAGCUUUGGCCACCAAGGCCCUGAACAUGAUUCUUCUGUUGCAGGGAUCAUUGUACAAGAGGAAAAGAUAAGGUGGUAUUCUAAGAUUUGAAUAGUUCCCAGAAUGGAAGCAGAAGAAUUUAUGAAAGCCAUAUCUUGAGAGUGUAGUGAUGAAAGCAACAGAGGAAUUGUGAAGUCUCCUAGUAGAAAGGGUAUUAGGAUCUGCCUGGUAUUUCUAUUUCCUUCACUCCUUUUUUGUGACAAAUAGAUGUUGUCUAUCACCUCACCUGUGGACUCAGGAUCAGCCAGCUUAUUUGACUUCUUAUUUGACUGUUUUCAUUGCAUCAAUGGCAGAUGCCUUUGACUGAUUCAACUGAAGAUACUUUCUGGAUUGUUAACACUUAACUGUGCCUGAGCUCUAGUAACUAAACUAUUUUUUUCCCCCUGCCUGAAGUGGGUUUUGCAAGACUUUGCCUGGGUGACAAUAUUUUGUUACUGACCACAGUCUACCAGAUUGAAUAACCAAGAUAAAAUAGCAAAUGGGAAAGAGCAGCUAGCCUUGGGCCAAAAGCUGGUAGUUUUUGGUUGGAAAACCUGAUUAUGUCAUCCCUUCAAAUAAGCUAGUUGUAAGGAUAUAUUUAACUUAAUGCUAUGUAGCUAUACCACGUUUAACUAUGUGGUAUUCUUUCUAGUAUCCAGGGAGAGAUACCACUCUCUGAAUUUAGACCAAACUUUGGAAUACAGGUUUACAUACCUUUCAUCAGCUGGAGUAUGUAUGUGUGUGCAUGCAUGUAAUUUUUAUUUUUUCAACACCCAUGUUGCUAGCCUUUACUCUUUAAUCAAAACAGCCAGAUAGGCUAUCUCAAGCACAUAUGUAUAUUCUAUGGAACCUCAACUUUUACUUUGCUACUUAUAAGUCACUUACUCUAUUUCAAAUUUAGACUUUCAUCUAGCAACAGGAUAUCAAGCAUUGUCAUCCAUUUCUGCCUACCAGUCAACUUGUUUGAUUUCCAUAAAACAACCAUCUUUGUAUUAGAAGGGUACUUGUUUAUAUAUCCAUUUGAGUGCUUUAUUAAAUUUUCUGCACUGUUUAAAAUAAAUAAAUGGAAGCUAUAAGAAAUUAUUAUGCUAAUAUUAACACAAAGACAGAAUAUGAAGUAGAUCUCAAAGGAGAUGUCCUUUUUGUAUGAUUUGGAGGCAUAUUUGAAAUAAGCUUGUUUAUUACAUGUUUAAUUCAAUGGAAAAAAAUUAUUAUCUAUAAAAUAGUAGUAAGAUAUUGUUGAAUAUUACAUAUCCAAAGGUGAAGUGUUACAAUAGAUGAACUGGAGAGAGCCUAAAAAGCUAUAAUUAAGAUUUCAUAUCAAGAAAACAUUCUGUUGAUCCUCUAGAGGACUUCACAGGCUUAUACAUCAUUCAAUAGAGAUACAUAUUUCUUCAAUCUCUUAAUCAAGAGAAUUAUAAGCCCAGACUUAGCUUUUCUUUAGUCAAUUAUUACCAAAAAUAAUUUAUAUAGAGUAAAAUUGAAAACAGGAAAUCAAUAGAAAUUAAUCAAUAAAACUAAAAGCUGAUUCUUUGAAAAAUAUAAAUAAAAUUGAUAAGCUUCUAGUCAGGCUAAGAAAAAAGAGAGAGGAUAGUAGUUGCUAGUAUCAGAAGUGAAAGAGAUUACUACAGAUCCCUUGGACAUUAAAAGGACAGUAAAAUAAUACUAUGAACAACUCUAUGCCCACAAAUUUGAUAACAGAGAUGAAAUGAUCCAACUCCUUAAAAAAUACAAUUUGCCAAAACUCACAUAAGAAGAAAGAGGCAAACUAAAUAGGCCUAUAUCCAUUAAAGAAAUUGAGAAAUAACCAUCCACAAUAGAAAAUAUCAGGCCCACCUGGUUUGACUGGUAUAUGAUACCAAAUAUUUAAGAAAGAAAUUAUAUUAACUCUCUACAAUAUCCUUCAGAAUACAGAAGUAGAGGAAGUACUUCUGAACUCAUUCAAUAGUCCAGCAUUACCCUAAUACCAUAAUAAGACAAAGACAUACAAGAAAACUAUAUCCAAUAUCUCUUAUAAAUAGAUGCAAAAAUCUUCAGCAAAAUAUUAGUUAAUCAAAUCCAAUAAUGCAUAAAAAGAAUUUACGCAUUACACAAGUAGCAUUUAUCCAAGAUAUGCAAGGUUGAUUCAACAUUUGAAAACCAAUUAAUGUAAUCCAUCAUAUAAAUUAGCUAAAGAAAAAAGACCAUGUAAUCACAUCAAUAGAUGCAGGAAAAUCAUUGGAUAAAUCCAAUACUCAUUUAUGAUAAAAAAUUUCAAAUAAUUAGGACUAGAGAGGACCUUUCUCAACUUAAUUAAGAACAUCUACAAAAAAACUACAGGUAAAAUCACAUUUAAUUGUGAAAAACUCAAAGCCUUCCCACUAAGAUCAGGUAUAAAUCAAGGAUGUCAUUUCUCACCACUUCUUUUCAACAUUGUACUCAGAGUUCUAGCUAAUGAAAUAAGACAGGAAAGGUAAAUAUAAUUAUACGGAUUGGGAAGGAAAAAAAAACUAUCACUCUUCACAGAUGGCAUUCAUCUAUGAAGAUAAUCUGAGAGAACUGACAAAAAACUCCUGGGACUAAUAAGCAAUGAUAAUAAGUUUGCAGGAUACAAGAUUAAUAUAUAAAAAUUCAUUACUUUCUUAAAUACCGGCAAAGAAAAACUGGAAUUUGAAUUAAAAAUACAUUUGCAUUAGAACACAAAGUAAAAAAUUUAGAUAUAAAUCUAGCAAAAUAUGUAUAAGAUAUAUGAAAAAUAUACAAAAUACUAAUGAAUGAAAUUAAAGAAAUAAAUAAAUGGAGAUAUAUUCUAUGCUUAUGGAUAGGAAAAUUCAAUAUAGUCAAGCUGUCAGUUCUUCCCAGCUCAAUCUAUAGAUUCAGUGCAACACUAACCAAAAUCCCAAUUAUUUCAUGGAAUCAAAAAACUCAUGAAGUUUAUAUGGAGAGGCAAAACACUCAGAAUAACCAACACAAUAUUGAGGGAGAAGAACAAAGUUGGAAGAUUGUGACCAGCCCAGCCUUGAGACUUACAAUAAAGCUGUAGUAAUCAAGACAGUACGGUAUUGGUGAAAGAAAGGAAUAGAACAGAGGACUCAGAAAUAGAGUCACAUAAAUAUAGUCAAGUGCUAUUUGACAGAAAAGCAAAAGAAACAUAAAAGAAGCAAAGAUAAUCUUUUCAAUGAAUAGUGCUGGAACAACUGGAUAUCAUGUGUGAUAAAGUGAAUCUAGACACAGACCUUAAGAUCUUCACAAAAAUUAACUCAAAAUGGAUCAUAGACAUAAAUAUAAAAGAAAAAACUAUAAAACUCCUAGAAGAUAACAAAGGAGAAAACCUAGAUGACUUUGGGUAUGGUGAUGACUUUUUAAAUAAAACACCAAGGGCUUGAUUCAUGAAAGAAAUAGUUGGUAAGCUAGACUUCAUUAAAAUUAUAAACUUCUCUGUGAGAGGCAAUGUCAAGAGAAUGAGAAGACAAGCCACAGACUGGAAGAAAAUAUUUGCAAAAGAAACAUCUGAUAAUGGGCUGUUAUCCAAAGUAUACACCCAUCCAAAAAAAAAAAAAAAAAA